AAGUAAUGAAGUAAAGUAUUACGUUUAGUUUCGACCUAAAGAUAAGAAUAAUUAGUUCCAUUACUUA
RNAcentral lists this transfer RNA (67 nucleotides) under Maoricicada campbelli. RNAcentral describes it as "tRNA-Arg". Lineage: Eukaryota; Metazoa; Arthropoda; Insecta; Hemiptera; Cicadidae. The record is from RNAcentral.